GCAUAUCAAUAAGCGGAGGAAAAGAAACCAACAGGGAUUACCUCAGUAACGGCGAAGUGAAGCGGUAACAGCUCAAAUUUGAAAUCUGGCUCUUUCAGGGUCCGAGUUGUAAUUUGUAGACGAUGCUUUGGGUGUGGUGCCGGUCUAAGUUCCUUGGAACAGGACGUCAUAGAGGGUGAGAAUCCCGUAUGUGAUCGGUCGCCUUCGCCCGUGUAAAGCUCGUUCGACGAGUCGAGUUGUUUGGGAAUGCAGCUCAAAAUGGGUGGUAAAUUUCAUCUAAAGCUAAAUAUUGGCCAGAGACCGAUAGCGCACAAGUAGAGUGAUCGAAAGAUGAAAAGCACUUUGGAAAGAGAGUUAAACAGUACGUGAAAUUGUUGAAAGGGAAGCGCUUGCAACCAGACUUGGGCUGUCGCAAUCAUCCGGGGCUCGCCCCGGUGCACUUGUGGCGGCACAGGCCAGCAUCAGUUUCGGUGGUGGGAUAAAGGCCUUGGGAAUGUAGCUUCUUUCGGGGAGUGUUAUAGCCCUCGGUGCAAUGCCGCCUACCGGGACUGAGGAACGCGCUUCGGCGAGGAUGCUGGCGUAAUGGUUGUAAGCGACCCGUCUUGAAACACGGACCAAGGAGUCUAACAUCUAUGCGAGUGUUUGGGUGUCAAACCCAUACGCGUAAUGAAAGUGAACGGAGGUGAGAACCCGUUAGGGUGCAUCAUCGACCGAUCCUGAUGUCUUCGGAUGGAUUUGAGUAAGAGCAUAGCUGUUGGGACCCGAAAGAUGGUGAACUAUGCCUAAAUAGGGUGAAGCCAGAGGAAACUCUGGUGGAGGCUCGCAGCGGUUCUGACGUGCAAAUCGAUCGUCAAAUUUGGGUAUAGGGGCGAAAGACUAAUCGAACCAUCUAGUAGCUGGUUCCUGCGA
Molecule: ribosomal RNA, 909 nt
Filed under: Cudoniella indica
Lineage: Eukaryota; Fungi; Ascomycota; Leotiomycetes; Helotiales; Helotiaceae
Description: LSU rRNA
Rfam family: Eukaryotic large subunit ribosomal RNA
Source: RNAcentral